Molecule: ribosomal RNA, 433 nt
Filed under: uncultured bacterium
Lineage: Bacteria
Description: partial 16S ribosomal RNA
Rfam family: Bacterial small subunit ribosomal RNA
Source: RNAcentral
AACGAACGCUGGCGGCAUGCCUAACACAUGCAAGUCGAACGAGACCUUCGGGUCUAGUGGCGCACGGGUGCGUAACGCGUGGGAACCUGCCCUUAGGUUCGGAAUAACUCCCCGAAAGGGGUGCUAAUACCGGAUAAUGUCUUCGGACCAAAGAUUUAUCGCCUUUGGAUGGGCCCGCGUUGGAUUAGCUAGUUGGUAGGGUAAACGCCUACCAAGGCGACGAUCCAUAGCUGGUCUGAGAGGAUGAUCAGCCACACUGGGACUGAGCAACGGCCCAGACUACUACGGGAGGCAGCAGUGGGGAAUAUUGGAAAAUGGGCGAAAGCAUGAUCCAGCAAUGCCGCGUGAGUGAUGAAGGCCUUAGGGUUGUAAAGCUCUUUUACCCGGGAUGAUAAUGACAGUACCGGGAGAAUAAGCUCCGGCUAACUCCGUG